Molecule: long non-coding RNA, 397 nt
Filed under: Ananas comosus (pineapple)
Lineage: Eukaryota; Viridiplantae; Streptophyta; Magnoliopsida; Poales; Bromeliaceae
Description: long non-coding RNA (ACOM_LNC032827)
Source: RNAcentral
AAUCGUUGUUCUUUACUUUUUCUUUUACUUUUGCUAACUCUAGCAAUUAUAUUCUUUACAUUCUUUACUUUUGGCUACCUCUAGCACUUCGUGUUCUUUACUCCCCACAUUACUUUAACUUUAAACAUUGUCAUUUUCAUCAUUCUUUACAUCACGUUAGUUCUUUGCAUCACACUACCUCUAGUGUCUCUUUACUUCACAUUUUCAAAUGCCACUCGAUCUAUAUCAUUGUGCCACUCUGUUCUUUUGCUCACUUUGGGUGCUCACUUUUCUCUCAUGCAUACACAUAGGGUUUUCGACGUUUACAUAGUUCUCAUUCAUCAUAUUAUGCAAGUUGUACUCACAAUCAUGCAACAUUACAUUUUCAUCAUUACUUUACCCUAAAAUGCAUGCAACA